This 484-nucleotide ribosomal RNA is filed under the name uncultured bacterium. RNAcentral describes it as "partial 16S ribosomal RNA". It matches the Rfam family "Bacterial small subunit ribosomal RNA", at positions 28 to 523 of the family's 1533-position model. The record is from RNAcentral.
GACGAACGCUGGCGGCGUGCUUAACACAUGCAAGUCGAACGAUGAAGCCGGAGCUUGCUCUGGUGAAUUAGUGGCGAACGGGUGAGUAACACGUGAGUAACCUGCCCUUGACUCUGGGAUAACUGCGGGAAACUGUAGCUAAUACCGGAUACGACCCUCGGAGGCAUCUCCAGGGGGUGGAAAGAAUUUCGGUCAAGGAUGGACUCGCGGCCUAUCAGCUAGUUGGUGAGGUAACGGCUCACCAAGGCGACGACGGGUAGCCGGCCUGAGAGGGUGACCGGCCACACUGGGACUGAGACACGGCCCAGACUCCUACGGGAGGCAGCAGUGGGGAAUAUUGCACAAUGGGCGCAAGCCUGAUGCAGCAACGCCGCGUGAGGGAUGACGGCCUUCGGGUUGUAAACCUCUUUUAGUAGGGAAGAAGCGAAAGUGACGGUACCUGCAGAAAAAGCACCGGCUAACUACGUGCCAGCCGCCGCCGUAA